Long non-coding RNA from Spea bombifrons (plains spadefoot toad), 593 nucleotides. RefSeq lists it as uncharacterized. The transcript has 2 exons. The record is from RefSeq and is a predicted model, not a curated record. Lineage: Eukaryota; Metazoa; Chordata; Amphibia; Anura; Pelobatidae.
UUACUAGAGUACAACAGAAUACUCCCUAAUUGCAUAGUACAUAGUAUUCUGUUCCUCCUCCCCACUGACUAUGGGCCCAGGCCUUGUAGAGACUUCUGUGUGUGGACAUGGGGGGUCAGUUUCUACUGAUUUCCCCCAUGUUUUACUACUCAGAGUCUCAAAACUGUAAGGCAACUGGACAUCCUGUUGUAGGAAGAAGGCUGAUUGUCUUUGCAUUGUUGAUUGUAUAGGUGUGAAGUGUUUCCCCUGUUAUUGUGUGAAUAAGCCCUAAGGUAUGAUUAGGUAUCACUGCUGCAUACCUAAUUAUCAAUUACACAACAGGUAGCUGUUAAUCCUGUGAGCUCCUGUUAUCGCCAUUGUCUGUCUCAAGCCAAUUAUAUGUCUACCAUCAUUCCAUGUCUACGUCCCCAACUAAUGUAAUUAUUUAUGUCUCAUGUCAUUCUGUCUUGCCCCCGGAUAUUGUGUUGUAGGAUUUGAUCUAAUUACUUCCUUCCUGACAUGGUAAUUAGAUCAUGUGAUAUUUGCCCUUUUCUUACUUGUGUGUAUAUAGCUCUGUAUUUGGUUUUAAUAAAGGAGUCCUGUUUUCACCUCAA